Culex pipiens pallens (northern house mosquito) is the source of this 1938-nucleotide long non-coding RNA. RefSeq lists it as uncharacterized. The record is from RefSeq and is a predicted model, not a curated record. Lineage: Eukaryota; Metazoa; Arthropoda; Insecta; Diptera; Culicidae. The transcript has 4 exons.
AUUACGACCAAAAUGUGUCGAUCCGACACACUGAAUGUGUAAACCGGGUUGUUUUUAAAUCGAUGUGUGGCUUUUACACAUCGCGAUGGUUUUUGAUCGAAAAUCCAUCCAAUGUGUAAAUUCCUUUUCGCCUGCUUCGCCAACGUUGCCGGUGGGCGUCGCCACAAGUCUUGGACUUGGAAGUGUAGCGAAGAGUGAAAAAAAAACACGUUGGUUUUUACUGUUUGCAUUUUUGCCUCGUCAUGAUUCUUCCGGCCAAGACAGUGUGACCUCCACCGAGUCGGAGCCCAUUUCACCUGCCCAUUUUUCCUCCAGCUCGACGUCACCAGCCGGACAUGAAUUCGACUGAACAGUCCGUUCGCCGCGGAAUCUGGACCGCGUUGCUUAGGGUUGUUCAACAGGAGCGCCCUUACGCGGGAAGCCGACCUGCUUUGGAUGUUGGACGGUACGGCUACGAACCAGAUCUGUAAGGCCGGCAGUUGCGGGUUGUGUUUCCAUACCCGCUCACUUCUGGCGUUUUGAAGGAGGAACUGGUUGAAGAGAUGUUUGCGAUCAGCUGAGCAAAAUUUGAUAUUUAAUAUCAAGAAGAUCCCAGCUUGGUCAGAAUCUGCCGCUGGGCUAAAUCUGUUCGCUGCUGAUAACAAUCAAACUGCUUACAAGCAGCGCAAUCCGGAUAAACAAUCCCACCAUGUCCGGGUGCUCCUUCUUUUUGGCCACUAGACCACAUUUUUUUCAGUACGUUAGGAACUCCUGGUUCCAACAGUGGACUUUUCCAGUGUCCAGUUUGAAUGCAGCUACUUCCCCUAUAGGCGCAGGUUCUCCGGUCCUGUUAAAGAGCAAACUGGGCGUGAAAAACAGUUGAGGCAAACCUCCUCUUCCGUUUGUCUCUCAUCAUCGUAGCAGCAGGAAAAAAUCACGACGCCAGCUGAAAAAAUCAAGCUCCCAGCUUUGAGCUUCGCCAAAAUGUCUGGCCACAAUCGGUCGGGACCGUCGAAUCAAAUCAGGCGUUAACCAAUCAACCGCAGCUCAUAAAGACCGUUCCGGAUAUGGUCCCCACAACAAGGACGGUGCCGGCUCAGCUCCGUCGUGUAGCUGCAACUAAAUCGGCGCUUCAAACCGAAAGCCGCAAGUAUUAACAACCCAGCACCAGGGGUACAGCGGCCGAAAGAUUGCACAACUUGUCGCCGAUAGGACCGAUCGGAGAGGGUGACGACAUUAGCGGGCUGCACAUCAAGGAUCGCGUCAACUUGUCGCCCACCAAAACCUCCAGUGCGCCUUCAAGAACAUCACAUCUAAUGUAGAAUCCGCUGGCCAUGGACAAGCUUUUCCGAGUUUCCCUGUUUGGACAACGUCCCGCGGACACGACGGAUGCAGAACAGCGCGAGAUGAACAUCUUUUGGCGAACCGCGCUGACGGGUUGCGAGAUCGUGAUCGAGAAGUGAUUCUGCAAAAGGCCGCUGAAGAAAGACGCUAUCCAACUGAAUGCGGCUAAGUUCCUCGGAACGCUUUCAGCCAUCGGGGACAAAACAACAAACGACCAGUCACAGACCAGUUGAUGGUCCAGGCCACUACAUUUACUUUUGAAGAUUAACAACGAUUAUGAAUUUAAGUGUAGUUGGAACAGUAGAAGAUUUAUUGUAUAUUAUGUAAUGUUGUGAAAUAAAAAAAAGCUGUAUUAUUUUAAAUUUGAAAGUAAUCAAUAAAAAUUAAAGAACUUUUUCUAUUCACUAACAGAUGGCAGCACAGUAUUCCCGCUAGUCGAUAGCUUCCCAUUUUUGCCACCAGGGGGCUACUGCCGAAUCAAAAUUUACACAUUGGAUGCGUUUCUGCCCAGAAUCCAGCCAAUGUGUUCCGGGCUGUUUACACGGCGCGAUGGUUCAAGCGUGGUCUUGUGCGAAAAUGGUUGGAUUCAACGCUUUUUGGUGUAAUUCUGAUCUU